GGGUGUGUUGAAGGAGACGCCUCCAAGUUUAGCCCUUCUCCCUGCUGCUACCUCAAUACACCCCGUCGUAAGAAGAAAAGCAAAAAUUGGAGCAUCAUCAGCAAGAUUAUGAAGGUUAAGACAGAAUUGAUAGAAAAGGAACAAUAACUGUGAGCAAGAACCCUUUUGCUCCCAUACAAAACGAAUACUGCAUUGAGGAAAUUAUCAACGACUACAGCAAACAAGGAAAAAGUGCCAUCCACCAUUUCUACAACACAGUCUGAUUCAAGAAGGGUUGACCCGACAACUCACUUGGAAUGGGCCAAUAGACCUUCACCUCCCCAGCCGCCCUGCUUGGACUUAACAAUAUACUUAUUAUGAC
Molecule: long non-coding RNA, 361 nt
Organism: Procambarus clarkii (red swamp crayfish)
Lineage: Eukaryota; Metazoa; Arthropoda; Malacostraca; Decapoda; Cambaridae
Source: RefSeq, a predicted model, not a curated record